Molecule: ribosomal RNA, 460 nt
Filed under: uncultured bacterium
Lineage: Bacteria
Description: partial 16S ribosomal RNA
Rfam family: Bacterial small subunit ribosomal RNA
Source: RNAcentral
CCUACGGGAGGCAGCAGUGAGGAAUAUUGGUCAAUGGACGAGAGUCUGAACCAGCCAAGUAGCGUGAAGGAUGACUGCCCUAUGGGUUGUAAACUUCUUUUAUAUGGGAAUAAAAUGUUCCACGUGUGGGAUUUUGUGUGUACCAGAUGAAUAAGGAUCGGCUAACUCCGUGCCAGCAGCCGCGGUAAUACGGAGGAUCCGAGCGUUAUCCGGAUUUAUUGGGUUUAAAGGGAGCGUAGGUGGAUUGUUAAGUCAGUCGUGAAAUUUGGCGGCUCAACCGUAGAAUUGCAGUUGAAACUGGCAGUCUUGAGUGCGGUAGAGGUGGGCGGAAUGCGUGGUGUAGCGGUGAAAUGCUUAGAUAUCACGAAGAACUCCGAUCGCGAAGGCAGCUGACUGGACUGCAACUGACACUGAGGCUCGAAAGUGUGGGUAUCAAACAGGAUUAGAUACCCUUGUAGUC